Long non-coding RNA from Oxyura jamaicensis (ruddy duck), 5950 nucleotides. RefSeq lists it as uncharacterized. The transcript has 2 exons. NCBI's taxonomy places the organism in Eukaryota, Metazoa, Chordata, Aves, Anseriformes, Anatidae. The record is from RefSeq and is a predicted model, not a curated record.
GAAGUUCUUCAGCCUGAGCAAUGUGCAGUCACAGAUUCCUUCCUUCUGGGCCUUGGUGACUGUCACUGCUGGUGACACUGCUUCCCUGCAGCAGUGCUCCAUCAACCAUACUAUGCCACUGGCUGGCUUCAGCUCAGCCAUGUGAGGUUGCUGUGAACCUUUGCCUCGAGGAUAAUGAAAUCACUUGAGGAAAAAACACCUCCUCAGCACAUCUGGAUGUGGAAAUGUACUGCCAUCAAAAUUACGGUUAUGGUCAAAUAACUUCAGAACUUGUUAUAUAAGGAAAUGUAUUUGUGCUCUGAACUGAAAGGCAAGGCAUCCCUACUAGAUGAGGCGUUCUGUCACUACUGGAAACUCUCCAGCUGUUGAAUUUUCCACUUAGUUUUUCUCUGACUUGUUUUUGUUCCUUCCUGUGUACCUGACACAAAGGUUGUUUCACUUGUUCGUGUUUACAUGUACCCUGUAGAGAACAAAAAGAAGCAGCGAUGCUCAGUGCAGGAGUGUGGUAAUGGGCAUAUGUGAGAUCAGCUGUUCCUGCCGCACACUAGCAUGACCUUGGGAAAUAUUUAGGCUCUCUGUACUUUAAUCUACUAAAGACUGCUAAAUGAUAAUAGUGUUUCCUCAGCAACGUGAUUGUGAAAGGAAAUGACAGGAUCAUCAUGGCAAGUGAAGGGAUGUAUUUGUGAAAACUAUAUACCGUGCAGAAGAUUUGGUAAAGGGUAUAUCUUCUUCUCUUAAUAGGUUCUUGUUGCCAGGAUGUCUGGAUUAAGAAAUAUGAUUAGCAGUUGCUGUGUAUAGUUCUUUGUUCUUUUUAUUCUUUCAUCUUCCAAAGAAAGUAGAGAAGGGCCAGAAGUUGUUCUUCCUGAAGUGAGAUGUAAGACAGACACCGACUGAAGUGGGAACAGGAAAGGACAAAGUAGUGAGCUGCUGUGCUGCUGCUAGCCUUGUGGGAGCGGGGGUGGCAGCUCUGAGGGUGAGUUAAGAAAAAAAAAAUAUAACAGCACAAAUAGCCCAUGGUAAAAAGGAUAAUAUUUGGCUUGCUUUGCUGAUGCUUUGCUUUUAUCCUUUGUGGAAUAUCCCUAGCAGAGUUGGAUAAAGACUUCUUAAUUCAGUUUUCUUUUGCGUGGUAGUUUUAUUACCAAGCCGGAGCUUAAUCUGAGUCCCCUGGAAACCAAUUAAAGAACUUUCUCUAACUCAGCAGAACCAGAUGAGCUUUGAUAUAUGUGCUUUAUAUAUUUAUAUCCAUCAACUCCCCUCCAGUCAAUGCAUCUCUAUAAAUUCCAAACAGUUGCACAACAUUUUUCUAAACAGCAUCGCUGCAGACUUGAUCCAGGAAGAAUCAUUUUAACCUACAUCCUUUUUAAAGCUUCACACGCUGCUCAGGAAUAUGUCUCAGAUGUUUCUGUGUAUUUAGGGACACUGUAUAUUCUGUUAUUUUUCAUUUGGUAUGGAGGUGUGUGACUUCUCUCGCUCUCUCUCAGUAGUAUUAAACAAUGAGGGUUCUUUUCCUGCAUUUUUCUAGCUGCCCAAUGAUGAGUCUGCAGUGGCAGAUGCUCUGACUUCCAGCUCAGCGGAUUUAUUCUCCUCCAGAAAGAGGGGAUUAGAGAUAAAACAUUGUUCAGUUCUGACAGAACUAAGCAUUUGCAAUAUUUUAAGUUCUAAAUUACUUUUAUGGCACUUGUCUUUGAAAAAUAUUAAUGACCAUGAACUGUUGAAUUUUUAAUUUUUAGAUUUGUUUUGUGAGAGAUAGAAAAAUACAGUUGUGGUUAAGAUUUGUAGCUCAGUUUAAACUGGAUGACCAAACCUUGUGGAAGUUGGUAACGGAGCUGCUGCUGUGCCGAGCUAAGACGUUAUUUCAUUCUGGAAGUCUUUGAAAGUCUGGUGGCUUUCUCAUCCCUGCCAAGGCAUGUAGACUGGCUCAGAGUCUGUACUCCUUUUCCCUUAAAAAAUAGAGUGUGACUUGGGAGUGACUUGGUUUCAUGUUAGUUAAUGUUUUCAGAACUGGAUUUAGGUAGGUCUAGUGUUUUUGUAAUGCUGAGCACUCCUCCAUCUUUAGUUGCAUCUUGGACAAUAGCCUGCUUUGUCUGAGCAAACUGACUAUAGGAAGUUGUUCGAGGGUUUCUCUUUGGGUUCUCAACCCCACAAAGAAUAUUCUAUAAUGCAAAAAUUAAAAGUUUAUUUUCAAAUUGCAAGUGUAUGAAAUUUAUGCAGUAUUUACCUAGAUAAAUCCUGUGAAAAUUAAGCUGUUGCACAGAAUCUAGAGAACCCCAGAGAACUGAAGUUUCAUGCAUAUCUGUCUCCAUUCCCUCAGGUACCUCUUUGGGCUUGGCCUAAAGACACCUGGAGCACACUGGGUCUUUCAAGGAUUAUUGGCUUUUAAUGUGCAGCCAGAGCCUUUUUUCUUCAAGUCUAUCUUUGACCCCAGCCAACCCACAAUGGAAGCACUGCCCCAUGUUCCCAAUCUGUAAGCAUGCAUCUCCAUGCUUCUCAGGCAAUGUUUCCGAUGUGGCUCUGCAAGCAUUCUGCCUAUAAGUCCUUCUAAAUCUCUGCUUUGUCAUUUCUGCCUGCUAGGCACCAUGAGUUGGGUUUUGUUCUUUCUGAACUCAUUGGACUCAUAUCUGACAUGAAUUGUAUUCUAUCCAAACAACUUCUCUUUCUUGUGGCACUUUUAAAAUAUACUUAUGUUUUCUACUGGUAGAAUAAAAUGUGUAUACUUUUGUGGAUAAUGAACAAGACAUGAACCAAAGCCUUUUAAAGUGAAUGGGAAGAUCCCUUUUCUAGACCCAAAUGCAAUUUGAAAACAUUCAUUGCUGUAAGAGCCAAAAGACCUGUCAGAAAAACAAGGAAGGUCUUGAAACAGGACAGAGACGUACUCGGAAGUUUUUACUAUGACAGCUGUGUACCUUCAGCUGAAGUUUUUCUUAAGAAUGAUCAGCUUGUGCAUGGCUUAUUCAGGGGUGCUGAGGGCACUUGUUUGCUUUUUAUCUCCCUGUUGGCACAAAAAGAAAUAAAAGCAAAUGGCUGGUAUAGCCUGUAUUUACUUGAAUUGAAAACUGUCCUAGGAACUGAACCAAUAGCCAAGUACAAGCAACAGACUUAAAAAGGAACUGUUUAAGAUGUGCUGGCUUGUAGAUGGAGGUAAGCAAGUCACAAGUUAGCCCAGCCUCCUAAAGAAAAUCUAGUUGCCCCUAGUCCUGUUCUGGACAGACUGGUACUUGAGGUGUGUGUGCUGCAUGUCGUCCCUAAGGAAGAUGCAAUUCUUGUAGCCCUGCAGCAUUGCAAAGCAAACCUGUAGCAUUGCAGGUUUCCUUUUGCUGACAGUUUCUGGAAGCAGUUGUCUAAGAAACAGCAGCAGCCAUGUGUAUGUGCAUCCCAGGAACAACUGGUGUACCUCCCCAUGCCUUUUCCCACCCAUCCUCAACCACCAAGACCCUUCCUAGCAGAUAUCCUGGCCCAGAGGAAGGUCUUUUCUUCUUCUAGGAGGUAAAUGUUUAGUUGCUUACAUAGAACAAAUCAUUUUGAUUUGCUUUUCCUUUUUCAACAGCUUCAGGAAUGUUAAAAAAAACCUUCAGCAGACAGGGUAGUUUGUUUCUAUGGAAGCUGACUGAGGAAACUGUUGAUUUUCUUCAUUUUAAUCUGAAUUACUAGUUCAACCCCUGCCCAGAGUAGAAAUAUACCCCUAUAAUCACCAUCUGAAAGCUGCCCAGUGCAGGGCAAGAUGAAACAACUGGUAGAUUUUCAGGCUACAGAAAAAGCAGUGUAAAGCUCUGGUUUGCUUUACUUCAUGCAGUAUUCCUUAGGAACUCUCUUAAGGAGCUAACCCAUUUGCUGUAGUUCAAGGUCACACAUUUUUAGGAAGACCAGUGACCCUUGUGUGUCUGUGAGCUGGACAACAGCAGCUCCCUCAGGCUGCAGCUCCAGCAGCAGAGCCAGGGGUCCAGGUGCUUCCAGGCAGAGCCCCUGCCUGCAGGUGCUGCUGCCAGCUGAAAUACUUGGCCUGGGCAUGGCUGAGACACUAUAUGCAUACCUGCCUCUUUCCUUUUAAUGGGUAAACGGGGCCUUUUGAUCUACUGAACCAUUAAACCAGCGCCUUCCUAUCAUCAAAGCACUUCUUUAUUGUCUUCCAGUUAUAUCAGUCUGGAACAAUACGCUCCCAUUGAGAACUGUUUAACUGCUAUUGUUCCAUUUAAUGCCUAUUACAAAAUCUUUGUUUACUUUGUAUCUAGACAGCUCUAAUCUCACCUCUAUAAUCACUUCUAUUUCUCCUACUGGGAGAAUAUAUAAUCUUCCUUCUCAGGCUCCACUCAGUGUUGUCAGCUUCCAUUAACUUACUGUAACUCUCAAUAUUUUUCUCUAAGCCCCGGGUUCCCUGAGUCACAUGAGUACGUGAGAAGCUUAGCUUUCAUUACCAAACCAUGCUUCUAGCUUACGUGGCUGCCAGUAAAGCUUGAAGACCUGAAUCCGAAGGGCUCUGAAACUAUAGAGGACAUGAAAUGUCUCCCGUGUAUUUAUAUAUAAGAAAAAAAAAUCCUAGUCUUGAAGCAAAUCCUCUCCUUUUGGGCAUUAAACUUUCUGAUAGCUUAGACUGAUGAUACUGAGGAGGAGAUUUGCCAAUGUAAUUAUAGCAGCAAAGCUGCUGCUGGGACUAAGGCAGCAACAGCGGGUAGAUGGAGAAAAGGAUGAAGUAUUUGAGACUGAGUGACAGGUAUUUCUGGCACUGAAAGACUAUAGUAAGACCUAUUAAAGUGACUAUAAGAAAUCUGUUUUAAAGCUUGGAUGUUUCCAAACGGUGCCUUAUCAGAAAAGCCCAAGCUAAAAUAACACAAUAGUGUCACUCAGUAUGUGGAUUGUUAAUGUGCAAUAUAAAUGUCAUUACUUAAUGUCUUUGGGAAGUAAAGAAUUUGCAAUGUAGAAGAACAGUCAGUGGGUAGUCUCUGUCAUUGCAGGUGCAAUGUUUUAUAUUAUGGCACAGAAAUCCAUCUUGAAAACAGGUAGGCUUUUCUUUUCUGCUGUUCUUUUUCUUGUAUUUUCUUCUCUUUCUUGUCUUCCUCUGUCCUCUCAUUUUUCCCUUUUCCAUUGGAUUGUCAUGAUGCUCAGAAUCACCGUAGUUUCUGUCUAAAUCUGUCUAAUCUUUAUGGAAGAUAUGCUUUUAUAGUGAGAAUUAUGCUAGGUUGCAUUAACUUGAAUCUCUUCUUAGUUUCUAAUGUGAUUGUAUGACACAACACUGUAUUUCAGGAAAUGCACAGAGUUGGCAUACACAGCUGUGAUAAUGAUUGCAUAAUAAAAAGGUGUACUGACAGUUACGGGAAUGAAAAUGGUCUUGUACUACAGGUUGAUUCCUGCUCCUGCUGUUCUUUAUUCUUAAUAUUUCAAAGGUUUGCUUACUAUGCGCGUACAUAUAUAUAUAUAUAUAUAUAUUUAAAUAUAACUCCACAGUUAAUCUUGUGGAGUUUGCUGGGAUUUUGUAUACCACACUGAGUUGCAUGGACUAAAAACAAAAAUAGUCCUCAGCUCCAAGACUCCGAAUUGCUGAAACAAUGCUUGUGUUGAUGGAUACUGUCCUCCCAGUUCUGCAAGAAAAGCACCUAAAAGCCCUUUUCUGCUCCCAUUGUCAAUCUAGAGAGGGAGGUUUCACAGCCGCAUAUUUACCAAGAAGGCACCCAACUUGAUUUUUCAGACUCUGUAUUUGGGUACUUUAUUUCCGCAAGGCAACACUAGUGUUGCUAUACUUCUUUCUGUAAAGAAGAUACAAUAUUGAAUCAAAUUAUUAACCUCAUUUCCACCUCUAUAUGCCUGUUCUGUCCCCUAAAUCUUUCUUAAACUGUAUAGGCAGCUCAGGAAUGAAUAAAAACCUGGACAUGUACAUGUGGUUGGUAUGACUAAUUAUUGGAUUGCCUACUACAAGACACUAUUUCCACACCCUAAUUUUUUGCUGCUUAGCUUGAAAUUC